RNAcentral lists this ribosomal RNA (780 nucleotides) under uncultured bacterium. RNAcentral describes it as "bacterial SSU rRNA". It matches the Rfam family "Bacterial small subunit ribosomal RNA", at positions 644 to 1424 of the family's 1533-position model. The record is from RNAcentral.
GAGUGCAGAAGGGNAGAGUGGAAUUCCAUGUGUAGCGGUGAAAUGCGUAGAUAUAUGGAGGAACACCAGUGGCGAAAGCGGCUCUCUGGUCUGUCACUGACGCUGAGGCUCGAAAGCGUGGGUAGCGAACAGGAUUAGAUACCCUGGUAGUCCACGCCGUAAACGAUGAGUGCUAGGUGUUAGGCCCUUUCCGGGGCUUAGUGCCGGAGCUAACGCAAUAAGCACUCCGCCUGGGGAGUACGACCGCAAGGUUGAAACUCAAAGGAAUUGACGGGGGCCCGCACAAGCGGUGGAGCAUGUGGUUUAAUUCGAAGCAACGCGAAGAACCUUACCAGGUCUUGACAUCCCGAUGCUAUUCUUAGAGAUAGGAAGUUACUUCGGUACAUCGGAGACAGGUGGUGCAUGGUUGUCGUCAGCUCGUGUCGUGAGAUGUUGGGUUAAGUCCCGCAACGAGCGCAACCCUUAUUGUUAGUUGCCAUCAUUAAGUUGGGCACUCUAGCGAGACUGCCGGUAAUAAACCGGAGGAAGGUGGGGAUGACGUCAAAUCAUCAUGCCCCUUAUGACCUGGGCUACACACGUGCUACAAUGGUCGGUACAACGAGUUGCGAGCCGGUGACGGCAAGCUAAUCUCUGAAAGCCGAUCUCAGUUCGGAUUGGAGGCUGCAACUCGCCUCCAUGAAGUCGGAAUCGCUAGUAAUCGCGGAUCAGCACGCCGCGGUGAAUACGUUCCCGGGCCUUGUACACACCGCCCGUCACACCACGAGAGUUUGUAACACCCGA